This 76-nucleotide transfer RNA is filed under the name Candidatus Giovannonibacteria bacterium RIFCSPHIGHO2_01_FULL_43_140. Its description in RNAcentral is "tRNA-Lys". It matches the Rfam family "tRNA". Rfam says of the family: Transfer RNA (tRNA) molecules are approximately 80 nucleotides in length. Lineage: Bacteria; Candidatus Giovannoniibacteriota. RNAcentral also lists the same sequence under 3 other names. The record is from RNAcentral.
CCGCCCGUAGCUCAGUUGGUAGAGCAGCUCCCUUUUAAGGAGAUGGUCGCAGGUUCGAUUCCUGCCGGGCGGACAA